This is a long non-coding RNA of Haliotis rubra (blacklip abalone), 226 nucleotides long. RefSeq lists it as uncharacterized. The record is from RefSeq and is a predicted model, not a curated record. The transcript has 2 exons. NCBI's taxonomy places the organism in Eukaryota, Metazoa, Mollusca, Gastropoda, Lepetellida, Haliotidae.
ACGCUACCAUGGUUACUAGUGAGGUUUAUCUUUGUUAAGGUUUUAGCAAAUAUUAGAUGAUUAACUUAACCUCACUCCAUUACACUACCAUGGUUACUAGUGAGGUUUAUCUUUGUUAAGGUUUUAGCAAAUAUUAGAUGAUUAACUUAACCUCACUCCAUUACGCUACCAUGGUUACUAGUGAGGUUUAUCUUUGUUAAGGUUUUAGCAAAUAUUAGAUGAUUAA